This is a long non-coding RNA of Puntigrus tetrazona (Sumatra barb), 3211 nucleotides long. RefSeq lists it as uncharacterized. Lineage: Eukaryota; Metazoa; Chordata; Actinopteri; Cypriniformes; Cyprinidae. The record is from RefSeq and is a predicted model, not a curated record. The transcript has 3 exons.
UUUGUGGUUUUGCAAUGCUUUAGUGUUGCUUGCUAGCUGAAAGCAAACACAGUGAAAACAAAGACGAUCCAAAGGUGCUGGAUUACAGAUAAGUGAAGCAAUGCAUUUCAGAUCAUUGAUACUUGUGUGUUAUUUUGGGCUUGGAUUAACAGAAGUGCAAAUAAAGCAGCACUCUUUAAAAAAUAUAUAUCAAGUGGGGGAUUCAGCAGUUCUCCACUGCAACCUUACCAGUGACAAAGAAAUGGUUAGAGGCUGUACUAUGAUGUGGAAAAUUUGGGAUGCAAAUGCAAAAAGCCACGUACGCAUUUCAAAAGUGCAAAAAUAUAAACACAGAGUUAACUUUUCAUUUCAAGGCACUUUUACCUCCAUGACCGUAACCGACCUAAUGGUUACAGACACUGAAAAUAUAUUGUGCACAGCGACGUGUUUCGUUAAUGAGGACAUCCGAUACAUCGCCAGUAACGGGACAAUUCUAAUAAUUACAGAACAAGAAUUAAACACCACAGAACAAGAAUCCGCGCUUGCAGCUCCAUGGUUGAAAUAUCUUUUUUUCUUCAUUAAUCUUCUGAUUUUCACCAUUGCACUGGGAAUCUUAAUUUUUGUCAUGCGAAAAAGGAACAGAGCGAAAUGAAUCUACAAUGAAUGUGCAUGCAUGUUCAACAAUCAUUUUAACAAUAACAGCAAUACACAAUAGGCUUUAAUAUGCUUUGAUUACUAUACUUUAUGCAGCCCUCUUGUUCUGUAGCAUUGUUUGGGGUGAAAAAAAAUCUUUGUUACACACACACACACACACACACACACACACACACACACACACACACAUAUAUAAAAUUCCUCUGACCUAAGCAUAUAUUAAAGCUUGCACUUCACAAAACAGUUGUGUGUAUAUAGGAUCAGAGAGAACAGAAUAAUGAAGAAACAAGCAUUGCGAGACCCAUUACAACUUUCUCCAUAAAAUAAAGUUAAAAUCUCUGACUGUGUUAUAUGUUCCAAAGACAAAUUACAUGUCAGCACUACGCUAAUAGUUUUAUACGCAAUUAAUCGGCAUAAAUUCCUCGUGAGGGAGGAUAACGCUGCUUACAAAGCAACCGAUAUAGAAUUAUUCGAUUGCAUCUCUCGCUUCAUGGUUAUGCAAGGCUUAAAAAGUAAAAAGAAAUGAAGAGGAAGUACAGAAUGUUUGCUGAAAAUCACGGCAGAAAAAACUACUAAACUACUAAACUACUGAAAAUAAUAAAAAUCACAAUGUUUCCACUACAAACGUACAAUGGAAAAUGUAUUAAAAAAACAAUUAUGACUAAAAAGCUACUUACAGUCAUGGUGCCCUUGAGAAUCGAAAGUAAAGAAAAACGAAAGCAACCAUUUUCUUUUCUUUUUUUUUCGGUGGGAGGGAACGUUCUUUCAUUAUAUGUGCAUCUAUCUAUAUUUUGGGUUUCUGGGCAGCUAAGCCGUGUUCGCGAUGAGCAGUCAACAAACUGUCUAUUUCAUUAAUUUAACAUUUUAAUAUUUGGGGCAUCCAAGUUUGCCAUUUGAAGUAGUAGUAGUAGUAGUAAUAAUAGUAGUAGUAGUAGUGCAAAAGUUACUUUCACUGGUAAUUAGUUACUUCAAAAUUAUGUAACUCGCUUACUAUUUGUAAGAAGUAACUAGUAACUAGUAACUAUAACUAAUUGCUUUUUGUAGUGACGUGCACAGCACUGGAGGCCACGCCCUUCCCUUCCCCGAGAUAUGUUGAUGCGCGCGCCUUUGAAAAAACAGUUUCCCCAGGUGAGAAGGUAUUGCAGUAUCUAUUAAUAGUUUUCUGUACUUUCGAUUUCUCCCAGCAUGGGGGCAGGAGACUUGUCAGCAAAUAAAUAGGAAAAAAAGUAACUGAUAUAUUCUUGUACAUUAAAAAGUAAUGCAUUACUUAAUGCUUGAAAAAAGUAAUAUUAUUACGAAACCCCCCAACACUGGUAACAUUGCAAUCUCAUUUUUAAAUUUUAAAAUAAAAAGAAUUUCUUUUCAAUAAAAAUGAAUGAAAUAAUCAAAGUUGAAGAUAAAGUAUUGGAUAGAGUUAGGGUAGGUGGGUGUAGGGUGGGCUUUAUUGUCCCAAUAAGGUUGUCAACCAUGGCAUCUAUUUAAUAAUUUAAAUCGGAACAUCCUCUUGUUUUCUCUCUCGCUUACUGUUGCUGUCAGGAACUAUUUUUUAAGGACCCUUUUUUAGGACUGCAUUUAAUAAACUUUAAGUUUUAAUAUCUUGUAUUGUUUGGUAACUGUUUUAUAAACCCAAUAAGCUACGAGAGGCCAUGCUUAAUCAUUAAUAUGGCUUUCAGCCAUGAUUUUAUUUACAAUACAGCACAGCCUUUUUUUUGUACCUUAUUGCUUAUAUAGAUACCCUAUUAGAGUGCUCCAUGCAUAUAGUUUCGGCCGCCAUGUUGGAACGGUGAACUUCAACUUGAGGUCAAAAAAUAUUUUGUUGAAUAAUUGUGACAUUUUAAUUGUGACCUACAAAGCAUUCAAAAGUAAAUGCUUUGUAGACUGAUUAGAGUUAACAACUUUUUUUUUUAUCCAAACCUGCUUUUAAAAAAAAGCUACAGUAUAAUCAGUUUCUGACGAUGUGCACAGUCAUCAGAUUGUCUUUUUCUUUUCUUUUCUUUCUCAGCUCUCAACAGUGAGCUUUGCAUACUGUGGUUAAGAGACACACAAAAGCUAAAUGACUUGCAGGGGUUGUUGUCAGCAGUUUGUUAGUACAACUGCAGUUUGCAAAACCCAUAUGUUUGUUUCUUCAUGGGUCGCGGAAGCGAGAGGAGGGAGGGACGAGGUGGAUGGUUGGUGCUGGUUAAUAGCAGAAUCACAGUCAUUUAGGAAUUAGAUUAGUGGUGUGCGAAUUAAGAUCACGAUCUUACAGUGAUAAAACGUGCAAAUAUAUGAGCAUUAAUGCCUGUUUUAGCCCACUUCAUAUUUUUUUUUGUGGUUGGGUGUUUUAAUCACAGUAUACAUACUGUGAGGUUAUCACUUAUAUAUCUUUGUUUUUGAUACAAAACGGCCACGGUAUAGCAAUAACAAUUUACUAAUGCACUUAUAAUAAUAAUAAUAAUAAUAAUAAUAAUCUGUUUGUCUGAGAGAGAAAGAGUGUUAAUUUUUUAGUUCAUUUUUUAGCUGAGACAAGCCUGUGCUUCCUGUCAUGAUUAAGACUAUUGUGUCACCCACCCCAGAUAUAAAAAUAUCACUCUGCAAA